UCAAAGAAUGGUGGGUUCCAAUAGAAGCCGAAGAGAUGGAAUUGAAGGAGUUAAUGCUACAGGCCUCGAAAACGAAGGAAUGGGUUGUGCGCUGCAGGUUUUUUCGGACGAAGGAUUUAUUGAGGAACCCAAUUCACUACGCAACGUGUUGAGUGUUCCUGUAGUAGGGGAGACAAAUGCUACGUUACUUGUCCAUGUUUUUACAGAUUUAAACAAUAAGGGCCUUGGGUUGGGUAUGGAGCAGAUUAAUAGAUUGGAGACCCAAUGUGCAGAUGUCUUUGGAGCGAGCCUGGGAUCAAAUGAAGAGGCAGAGAAUUAAUGUUUGGGGGCCGAUGCAGAUAGGUAUAAUGAAAUUGAAUUAAUGAGUGCAGAUUUCGAAGUAAGCCCAAAGUUAAAACAAAAUCAGGCUAUCUAUCUAAUCCAGAGAGCCAUAGGGAUCGGGUUUCUACAUCAGAGAUUGAAAAAGGAUAUUUUCCAAAUUAGGCAGAGUAAAAGAAAGAAGAAAGCUCUAAACAAGAAAAUUAGAUCUAUGCGCAAGAUUCAAGAUACAACACUCACAACGAAGGAGAAGAAGAAGAGAGACAGAGGGCUAAGAAAACAGAACGGAAAGGGGAUUUUGAGAAUCAACGACAGUAUUGCAAAUUUAUCACUUUCGGAUUCCGAUAUCAGCAAUAGCAGAAGAGUUCUCCUCAGAGAAGCGAAAAAGACGUAGGAGGUAGGGAGCACUCUAGGCUGGGGGUUGAUAGAGUUCGAGAUAUUGGUAUGUGUUUGUUUUCGUGUUGUUAUCUUUUGAUUAUUCUAUAUUGUUAAGGAGUAUGAGAAUUAUUACGUGGAACAUUAGAGGGUUGGGUUCAGCUCCCAAAAUUGAGGCUUUCAAGAGUGUAGUGAGAAUGAAUAGAGCCAAUGUUUGUUUAAUUCAAGAAAGUAAAUUAGAAUCGGUGUUAAUGGAGUUAGUUAGAAAAUUUUGGGGUGAUGAUUGCUUUGAUUUAAAAAACGCAGCUGCUGUAGAAAGGUCAGGGGGUUUAUUAACAAUCUGGGAUAAGGGUCGUUUCUCAGCAAAAGUUGAUUUGUAUGAGAGGAGGAUCAUUGUAGUAGCAAGAAAAUGGGUGGUCGAAGAGAAUGAGAUGACUCUGAUUAAUGUUUAUGCUUCGAACAGCCUUGCAGAAUAAAAAAUGAUGUGGGAAGAAAUUUCUGGUUUGAGAAAUCAAUUUUGUAAAGCAUGGAUCAUUGGUGGAGAUUUUAAUGUGGUGAGAAACUGUAGCGAACGCACAAAUUGCUCGAGCACAGAAAAGGAGUCAAAGGAGUGUGGCAAGUUCAUAGAAAGUUGUAAGUUAGUCAACUUACCAUUAAUAGGAAAAAAUUUCACCUGGUUUGGCUCGGAUAGUAAAAGUAGCUAACUUGAUAGAUUUUUAAUAAAAGAAGACUGGGUGGUUCAGUUUAAGGAUUUACAACAGCAGGGACUUAACAGAUCUGUAUUUGAUCAUAUUCCAGUGAUGUUGGUGAAUGAAUCUGUAGACUGGGGACCUCGACCUUUUAAGUUUGUCAAUGCUUGGUUUAAAAAGGAUGGAUGUAUGAAGUUGAUUGAAAAGGAAUGGUCGGGAAUGGAUGGUCUGUGAGGUAAAACGGCUGCCAAAUUGAGAAAAUUAAAGUGAGCUCUUAAGAAGUGGAAUGCUGAUGAUGGAAAUAUUCUGGAAAAAAGAAUCGUCGGAAGCGAGGCUAGGAUUAAGGAGAUUGAUGAUGUAAGCAAAAAAAAGGAAGCUAGCCGAAGUGGAGAUUGAGGAGUUAAAACAGUUGAACAUUGAGAUUUGGGAAACAAUAAAAAUAAGAAUCAAUUUGGGACAAAAAUCGAGGAUGACUUGGUUAAAAGGAGGGGAUACUAAUAGUGUUUUUUUCCACAGGUCGGUGAAAAUCAAAGCUAAAAGAAAAUUGGUGUUUAAUUUAAAAAUUGGGGGCCAGAAUAUUAAGGACCCUAAGGAAAUAAAAGAGGGGCUAUUCAAUUAUUUUAAUAAUUAUUUUGACAGCUCUGCAAGAAGGUGGAAAAUGGGGUUAGAUUUGAAAUUCAGAUUGCUUAAUGAAGAAAGAGCUAUGAAAUUGGAAGAACCCUUUUUUUUAUGGAAGAAAUCAAAGAAGCUGUGUGGAGUUGUGAUGAAUCGAAAGCGUCUAGGCCAGAAGGGUUUAAUUUGUGUUUUUUUAUAAAGUGUUGGGAGAUCAUGAAGCAUGAUUUAUUUGAGGUGAUGUCUGAUUUUUUCACAUCCAGGAAACUUGAGAAGAGCAUUAAUUCUUAAUUUAGCACUCUUAUCCCAAAGGUGGAAAAUCCUACUGAAAUUUCAGAGUUUAGGCCAAUUUGCUUGGUGAGCUCUCUUUACAAGAUUGUGUCCAAGGUUUUGUCACUAAGAUUAAGGGAGCUUGUAGAGGAGGUGGUUAGUGAUACACAAAGUGCCUUCAUUAAGGGUAGACAAAUAUUUGAUGGGGUUUUAAUUGCAAAUGAAUUAAUCCAUUCGGUUUUGAAGAAAGGUGGUUCUGGGGGUAAGUUGAUUUUUAAAUUAGAUUUUUCUAAAGCUUACGACUGCGUUAGAUGGGAUUUUCUGCAGUUGGUGUUAUCUAAAAUGGGGUUUGGGGAAAAGUGGAGAGGUUGGUUGUUGGAAUGUUUAUCUACGGCAAGAGCUGCAGUUAUCAUUAAUGGUUCUUCAUCCAAUGAAUUCAGAUUUCAUAGAGGACUUCGACAGAGAGACCCACUAUCUCCAUUUUUAUUCAUUUUAGUGACAGAGGUUUUCCAUUUGGCGUUGGACAAAGCUGCGGAGUUGGGAUUGAUCGAGGGCUUUAAUAAUGUUAUUCUUGGUAUGCGCUUUUUUCAUCUUUAAUUUGCGGAUGAUACUAUUCUUUUCCUAAAAGCUAACGAAAAUGAGGUGACCAAUGUGAAGUAUACUCUAAACGUUUUUGAGAUUUUUUCGAGGUUGAGCAUUAACUUUAAAAAAUCUUGUUUAGCGGGGUUCGAAGUGGAAGAAGAAUUAUUAUUUAGAUUGGCUGCCAUUUGCAAAUGUAAAAUAGGAUCUCUUCCUUUCAACUAUUUGAGGAUACCACUGGGAGCAAACCCGAAAAGAAUAGCUACAUCGGAACCCAUCAUAGACAAAGUCAGGAUGAAGUUAUUAGGAUGGAAAUGUCGUUCACUUACAUGGGUUGGUAAGGUCGUUCUUAUAAAUGCGGUGUUGUCUUCGUUGUUGAUAUACUUCAUGUCUCUAUUCCAAGCUCCGGUCACUAUUAUUAAAAAGAUCGACAAGAUUAGAAGGAAUUUCCUAUGGGGAAUUUGGAUGGGAAAAAGAAGAUAUUGAGAAUUAGAUGGAAUACUGUCUGUAAGCCAAAGGAUAAGGGUGGGGCAGGUGUGGCAAAUCUAGGUUUUAAAAAUAAAACUUUAUCGGCUAAAUGGAUCUGGAGAUUCGCGAUAGAAAAAGAGGCGUUAUGGAAAAAGAUUAUUUUAGCUAAAUACGGGCCAAAUGUUCAACAAUGGCCGUUUAAGAUAACUUAUCAAAAAGAUAUGCCAACUAUUCAGAGAGAUAUAGUUGAAAAUGCUAAAGAUGCUAAAAUGUCCAAAUGGGUGGGGUCGGAAUCUUUCUGUUGGAAGAUAGGGAAUGGUAAGUCGACUUUGUUUUGGUGGGACAUCUGGUGUGGGAAUCAACCAUUGAAAUUGUUGUUUCUAAGGCUCUUCCGCCUUGCUAAAAAUAAAGUAAGUACUAUAGCUGAUUCUUUAAGUUAAUCAGGGAAUGGUAGUGUUAAUUAGGAAGGCUGGUUUUCUAGACCUUUGUUGGGUAGGGAGAAGAGGAUGUGCAAAGAUAUGGUUGAUAAGGUAAGUGGCACGGUGUUGUUAUCGGAAGUAGAGGAUAGGUUGUGUUGGGUUAAUGAUAAAUGUAGGGUAUUCUUGGUUAAAAAAAUGUUCGGAUUUAUUGAUGUUGGAUGAUGAGGCGGAUGUUAAUUUUACUUGCAGUAGAGUUUGGAAUAUUAAGGUUCCCCCUAGAGUUUGUAGUUUUCUUUGGAUGUUCGCGAUUGACAGAAUUCCAUCUAAGGAAUUUCUGGCUAAAAGAGGAGUGAACACUCAAAAUUUUUCGAUAAGCUGCCCUAGGUGCGAAGGAGAAACAGAAAGUGCAUCACACCUGUUCUUCAAAUGAAGAUUUAUCGAAGGCCUUUGGGCUAAAAUCUUCAAUUGGUGGGAUGUUGUUUGGAAGAAGGUCGAUGGUGUUAUGGAUUACAUCGCUUUAUGUAAUAAUGUGAAAAUGGCUGAAAGUAAGAAAAGCUUAUGGUUAGCAAGAAAUGGGCUAGUUUUUUAUGGAAGGAGAGUACAUAUGGAAAAUUUGGUGUUUCAAUCUAAGAUGAGGGCUUUGUUGUUGAUUAGAUCAGUUCAUAAUGAAAUCAUGAUGCAACAGAAUUUUUGGUGGAUCUCUCCACAAAUAUGUCAAGUUGUGCCCUAUAAAUCUAAAUAUGUUGCUUCUUUUUCGAAGCCCCCUCCUCUUGGUUGGUUAAAAUUCAAUGUGUGUGGAAUCAGGAAAGAGGACAAAGCAGGGUUUGGAGGAGUUUUGAGAGAUAUGGAGGGGAUUGCAAAAGGGAUAUUCUCUGGUGCUGUUCAUAUAAAUGUUGUUGAAGAAGCUGAAAUUGGUUCUCCGGUGGCGUUUUCUUGGUGUAUUAACAAGUUUUUGAGACCUUGGUCAUUUCAUGCAAUUUUUUCAAAGAUUGAAAAUGUUAAGCUAAAAGUCAGAUCUGUCGUCUUCUCUUUAACGGAUUGGAAUGGCAAUGACAUGGCUUUCUCAUUGGCAUUGGCUAGUGUUAAACGGUCGCAAGUGUUUAAAGUUUGGUGGUGAUAUCUUGUUUUGUUAGUUGUUUUCUUGUGGUUGGGACUGUGCUCUUAACUUGAUUGCUGCUCUGUUUUGUCUCUGACAACAGAGUAGUUCGAAUGAAGCAAAAAAAAUGAUUAAUAGUAGAA
Molecule: long non-coding RNA, 4969 nt
Organism: Gossypium arboreum
Lineage: Eukaryota; Viridiplantae; Streptophyta; Magnoliopsida; Malvales; Malvaceae
Exons: 2
Source: RefSeq, a predicted model, not a curated record